UGCAGUCGAGCGGACCUCUUCGGAGGUUAGCGGCGGACGGGUGAGUAACACGUGGGCAACCUGCCUGUAAGACUGGGAUAACUCCGGGAAACCGGAGCUAAUACCGGAUAGUAUCUUGAACCGCAUGGUUCAAGUUGGAAAGACGGUUUCGGCUGUCACUUACAGAUGGGCCCGCGGCGCAUUAGCUAGUUGGUGAGGUAAUGGCUCACCAAGGCAACGAUGCGUAGCCGACCUGAGAGGGUGAUCGGCCACACUGGGACUGAGACACGGCCCAGACUCCUACGGGAGGCAGCAGUAGGGAAUCUUCCGCAAUGGACGAAAGUCUGACGGAGCAACGCCGCGUGAGUGAUGAAGGUUUUCGGAUCGUAAAACUCUGUUGUUAGGGAAGAACAAGUGCGAGAGUAACUGCUCGCACCUUGACGGUACCUAACCAGAAAGCCACGGCUAACUACGUGCCAGCAGCCGCGGUAAUACGUAGGUGGCAAGCGUUGUCCGGAAUUAUUGGGCGUAAAGCGCGCGCAGGCGGUUUCUUAAGUCUGAUGUGAAAGCCCCCGGCUCAACCGGGGAGGGUCAUUGGAAACUGGGAAACUUGAGUGCAGAAGAGGAGAGUGGAAUUCCACGUGUAGCGGUGAAAUGCGUAGAGAUGUGGAGGAACACCAGUGGCGAAGGCGACUCUCUGGUCUGUAACUGACGCUGAGGCGCGAAAGCGUGGGGAGCGAACAGGAUUAGAUACCCUGGUAGUCCACGCCGUAAACGAUGAGUGCUAAGUGUUAGAGGGUUUCCGCCCUUUAGUGCUGCAGCUAACGCAUUAAGCACUCCGCCUGGGGAGUACGGUCGCAAGACUGAAACUCAAAGGAAUUGACGGGGGCCCGCACAAGCGGUGGAGCAUGUGGUUUAAUUCGAAGCAACGCGAAGAACCUUACCAGGUCUUGACAUCCUUUGCCACUUCUAGAGAUAGAAGGUUCCCCUUCGGGGGACAAAGUGACAGGUGGUGCAUGGUUGUCGUCAGCUCGUGUCGUGAGAUGUUGGGUUAAGUCCCGCAACGAGCGCAACCCUUGAUCUUAGUUGCCAGCAUUCAGUUGGGCACUCUAAGGUGACUGC
RNAcentral lists this ribosomal RNA (1101 nucleotides) under Metabacillus idriensis. Its description in RNAcentral is "bacterial SSU rRNA". It matches the Rfam family "Bacterial small subunit ribosomal RNA", at positions 56 to 1152 of the family's 1533-position model. Lineage: Bacteria; Bacillati; Bacillota; Bacilli; Caryophanales; Bacillaceae. The record is from RNAcentral.